GAAGAACCUUACCAGGGCUUGACAUGCACGUGGUAGCGAAGCGAAAGCGGAGCGACCCUUCGGGGAGCGUGCACAGGUGCUGCAUGGCUGUCGUCAGCUCGUGUCGUGAGAUGUUCGGUUAAGUCCGCUAACGAGCGCAACCCUCGCCGCGUGUUACAAGUGUCACGCGGGACUGCCAGUCUUAAGCUGGAGGAAGGUGGGGAUGACGUCAAGUCCUCAUGGCCCUUACAGGCUGGGCUACACACGUGCUACAAUGGCGGUGACAAUGGGAAGCGAAAGGGCGACCUGGAGCAAAUCUCAAAAAGCCGUCUCAGUUCGGAUUGCACUCUGCAACUCGAGUGCAUGAAGGUGGAAUCGCUAGUAAUCGCAGAUCAGCACGCUGCGGUGAAUACGUUCCCGGGCCUUG
RNAcentral lists this ribosomal RNA (406 nucleotides) under uncultured bacterium. RNAcentral describes it as "bacterial SSU rRNA". It matches the Rfam family "Bacterial small subunit ribosomal RNA", at positions 963 to 1383 of the family's 1533-position model. The record is from RNAcentral.